This 508-nucleotide long non-coding RNA is filed under the name Chinchilla lanigera (long-tailed chinchilla). Its description in RNAcentral is "lncRNA (ENSCLAG00000026139.1)". The record is from RNAcentral. Lineage: Eukaryota; Metazoa; Chordata; Mammalia; Rodentia; Chinchillidae.
GAUCAGUGUACAUUUUCUUUUCCAUGCCUCCAGUGACGACAUUUGCAUAUAUCUGUCUUCGAAUUCCAGUUGACUGCUGAGGACAUGAAAGUCCUAGAUGGCCUGCACAGAAACUUGCGAUAUCUUCCUAUUGAGUUCACUCAGGACCACCCUGAGUAUCCAUUCGCUGAUGAAUAUUAACAUGGAGCACAUUGCCCUGACUGCUGCUAGAAAUUCCUUUCUGUGGAGAAUGGUGCAGAAGACAUAUCAGACACUACUGUUCCACACAUCCUCCUCAGCAAACCAUGCUGAUUAGUAACUGUCACAGCUUGAGUUGAGUUGAACUGUCCAGAAGAAAAAGGAGCUACAUUAACAUCAGAUUUUUGGAAAAAAAAAAACAAAGAAUUUUUUAAAGAUUCUUGCAUUGUGCUGUUUCUGUUAUUUGUCUGGUGUGUUUAUUUUGGUCUCAUUAUGGCUGAAAAUAGACUUGGCUGGAGAUCUGUGGGAAAGGCUAUAUCAGGAGGUGGGA